Molecule: ribosomal RNA, 732 nt
Filed under: Kosakonia sp.
Lineage: Bacteria; Pseudomonadati; Pseudomonadota; Gammaproteobacteria; Enterobacterales; Enterobacteriaceae
Description: partial 16S rRNA
Source: RNAcentral
UGAGCGUCAGUCUUCGUCCAGGGGGCCGCCUUCGCCACCGGUAUUCCUCCAGAUCUCUACGCAUUUCACCGCUACACCUGGAAUUCUACCCCCCUCUACGAGACUCAAGCCUGCCAGUUUCGGAUGCAGUUCCCAGGUUGAGCCCGGGGAUUUCACAUCCGACUUGACAGACCGCCUGCGUGCGCUUUACGCCCAGUAAUUCCGAUUAACGCUUGCACCCUCCGUAUUACCGCGGCUGCUGGCACGGAGUUAGCCGGUGCUUCUUCUGCGGGUAACGUCAAUCGACGCGGUUAUUAACCNCAUCGCCUUCCUCCCCGCUGAAAGUACUUUACAACCCGAAGGCCUUCUUCAUACACGCGGCAUGGCUGCAUCAGGCUUGCGCCCAUUGUGCAAUAUUCCCCACUGCUGCCUCCCGUAGGAGUCUGGACCGUGUCUCAGUUCCAGUGUGGCUGGUCAUCCUCUCAGACCAGCUAGGGAUCGUCGCCUAGGUGAGCCGUUACCCCACCUACUAGCUAAUCCCAUCUGGGCACAUCUGAUGGCAAGAGGCCCGAAGGUCCCCCUCUUUGGUCUUGCGACGUUAUGCGGUAUUAGCUACCGUUUCCAGUAGUUAUCCCCCUCCAUCAGGCAGUUUCCCAGACAUUACUCACCCGUCCGCCACUCGUCAGCNAAGCAGCAAGCUGCUUCCUGUUACCGUUCGACUUGCAUGUGUUAGGCCUGCCGCCAGCGUUCAAU